UUGAAAACUUUUUCAUCCAAAUACGCUCCAACAAAUAUCUUAAAUAUCUUAAAUUCUGCAUAUAUUGACCUGCUCUUCAUCUUCGUCCAAUUGAAUCGAUCAAUCGACCUUUACAACAUUAACCAUCAUCCAAACAUCAGCCACUAUCACUGAUGUCCUAGGGUUCGCCAUACCCAUCGUCACCACCAAUCCCCCAUCUAUAAAUCCUCAAAAUCUCGCUGCUAGAGUAUUUAAGAGUUUAUCGCUUGGGUUGCUUGCCCUGAUAUCUGCAUUACGUCAACAUAUUUUUUCAUCAUAUGUACACUUAUUAGUUAACAUUUGGUGGUAUAUACUUUGUAGCUUACAACGUGAACUGAAGGUCACCCUAGAUUUGCUUCCAAAUCAAUUUGGGUCCAAAAGUAGCUUCCAAUAUGUCUGUACAAACACAUAUGCAGCAAGGUGGAUCAAACUCGAAAGGAGAAAAAAGAUAGAAAGUUUAAGUAGAGGCCUGAUUGAGUAUUUUGAAUUUGGUGAGAAGUUCUAGGAAGAAUUUUUCCCUAAAAUGAUAUCUUUAUCGAUCUGUAAACCCCAAAACAUCUUCAAUCUAAAAAAUCAAAAUGAAUACCACCAAGGCCUCUCUCUGAACCUUCACUAUCUAAACAUCUAUUUUUAACUAUGUAUGUGUAUCGAUUUAUGGAUUUGGAUCUAAAUCUGGACACUAGAAACAUCAAUUUUAUCCCUAUUUGAUUUAGUUUUUAUUUGGAUUUACAGGUAUGGUUUGGACAACUUAGGCAUGGCCAUUUCGAUGAACAACAGAAUUAGGAGUAAGUUGUAGAAGGAGGAGGAACAACCGUUGAUGCAGUAAAAGUAGGAAAUUUUUUAUUUUUUGUGUUUUGUAUAAUUCUCUGUUUUAAUGGGUAUGGUUGUCUGUUUUUCGUUUUUGUGUUUUUCUUAAGGGAAAAAGGCCUUGCUCAUGAUGUACAAAGGAUUAUGGAGCAGAUGAAGCUUCUACAUUUUUAAAGAAAAAAGUUUCAGCUGCUGCUAGAGGUGCACAAAAAAACCAAUUCACGAUCCGAACCGGUUUCCGAACUGAAAACCGGUUCACCCCCGGCCCAAGCUAGAACCAAUCCGAUGCAAAACCAAACCGCCAGUUUGUAUAGGUUUAGAAAUAUAUAUGUUGGCACCGGUUUAGAACCGCUUUAAUGAGAACCAGUUUGCAGAACCUGUUUAGAACCGGUGUAGAAUCGGUUUUUCGAAGUUACCUAAAUAUAUAUAUUUUAACAAAAGUUAAUUGAAACAAACAAAAGGAUUAACGAGGAAACAAAAGCAAA
This is a non-coding RNA of Lactuca sativa (garden lettuce), 1310 nucleotides long. The record is from RefSeq and is a predicted model, not a curated record. NCBI's taxonomy places the organism in Eukaryota, Viridiplantae, Streptophyta, Magnoliopsida, Asterales, Asteraceae.